CACUGGGUUAGCCAAAAAGUUCGUCCCGGUGUUUCCAUAAGAUGUAACGGAAAAACCCGAAUGAACUUUUGGCCAACCCAGU
Molecule: microRNA precursor, 82 nt
Organism: Bos grunniens (domestic yak)
Lineage: Eukaryota; Metazoa; Chordata; Mammalia; Artiodactyla; Bovidae
Source: Ensembl